GGUGCUAGAUGCUUAGGUGCUCGCCUUGUUGUUGCAGAUCAUCAGACUCAAUCUCAGGUUCUUGCUCCACGUACUCCGAAACAUCUGAAUCUACCGAUAAAAGACAAAUAUGUAAAUAAGAUUCAAAUAAACAUGCAUAUGCAACAUGCUCUAUAAAUUGAUAGAUAAAUACAGUGGACAACGUACAAGUUGACAUAAAAACUACAUUUGCUGCUCUAGCUUAGGAGAUACACAACUAACCAGUCAUAUACACUAAAAUGGCAACUUUUGAAAAUAAAACAAACAGACCCAACCAUAUACUGAUAUUUUUAGCAACCUUACGUGAAUAAAACUUAUAUCACACCAAGGAGCCAAAUUCACUGGUUCUAAUAUAAUUUGAAUCACCCAAUUUAGACUUGGAAUGAAGUAACUAUGCGCGUUGACUUAAUGUGACAAAUGGAACUGCUACUCGCUGCCCCUUAGCAGAAAUUUGAUUUCAUAGCUUACAAUUGAAAGAAAUGAUAUAGGUGCAUAAGCUAUGUGGUGGGAUAAUUGAUUUAGUUCGGUAAUUAUUAGCACAUGAAUUUAGUGUAAUUACAUUGUAACUCCAGUUAUCUCUUUCUCAUAUAUUACCAAGUGACUUUAGUUCCAUCCUCCUCUGAAUAUCCCCAUGCUUCUUGCUAAUUAACAAUCUACCUAAAGCACCAAGAACAGUGUUCCUAGAAUUUUGCAACUACUAGCUAUUGGUGGUGGAGUUCAGUGGCAAAGCAAUCUUUGUGAGGUCCUUUUGUGUGAGAGAAAACAAAUUGCCGAGGUGCUGAAAAAUCUCACCAAAGGAUGAGGUGCAGCAGGCUGGCCCUAAUUUUCUUAGGGACGACAAACUCAACAACAACUUGGAUCACUAAUGCAAAUCACCAUGAUCCACUGAUGGCUGCAGAAGGAUAGGUGUGAGCUCAUUUAUAUCCUACAUUUGGUGAGGUUGCAGUGCCUGGUACACGGGUUUACCGGAGAAGGGUAUCAAACUAUCAAUAUAGAAAGAGCACGAUCAAGUAGUACAAGGAAGAACAAUACAAAACUCACCUUGCGCUACUUGCAGGACAAAAGCACCGUGAGUACUUGAUCCUAAAGCUAAGAACAUAAAUCUACAGGAGGUAGAGACAUGAGAACUCACCAAAACAGAGGAACUCAAAGGAAACAUGGGUUAUUGUUGCUGGAGUGGAGAUAUAUGAAUUGUAGCUGCUCUUUGCUCUCAAGAUUUAAAUCGGUGACCCAUAGGGAGGGGGAGAAAUAAGGGAUUGUUAGCAUUAUAGGAACUCAAGUAGGGAGCCAUGGAUGUAGAAAGAACUUACCAACACAGAAAAGAAACGUGUCAUCCAGCUGCUGCAACCUCGCAGCCUGCAGCUCCUUGCUGUUCCUCCUUCCCGAUCUCUCUCAAAUGGCCAUGCAUGUGCAAGAUAUUUGGAUGGAUGGAAAACCUAGAGCCCCAGGGAUCCAAAGGUGUGACAUGCAGGGUUUGGUUUUGGAUGUUUGAAGAAGAUUUUGGGGGAGAAAGUGGGGAGGGAGCUCAGCCUAAGGAAGAACGUAAAGUGGCUAGCAAUGGAAAGGGAGGAGGAGGAAGAUGAAGGGUUUUUC
RNAcentral lists this long non-coding RNA (1611 nucleotides) under Oryza sativa (Asian cultivated rice). RNAcentral describes it as "long non-coding RNA (OSAT_LNC001801)". The record is from RNAcentral. Lineage: Eukaryota; Viridiplantae; Streptophyta; Magnoliopsida; Poales; Poaceae.